RNAcentral lists this ribosomal RNA (495 nucleotides) under uncultured bacterium. RNAcentral describes it as "partial 16S ribosomal RNA". It matches the Rfam family "Bacterial small subunit ribosomal RNA", at positions 28 to 523 of the family's 1533-position model. The record is from RNAcentral.
GAUGAACGCUGGCGGCGUGCUUAACACAUGCAAGUCGAGCGAAGCAUUUUAAAGGAAGUUUUCGGAUGGAAUUUAAAAUGACUUAGCGGCGGACGGGUGAGUAACGCGUGGGUAACCUGCCUCAUACAGGGGGAUAACAGUUAGAAAUGACUGCUAAUACCGCAUAAGCGCACAGUGCUGCAUAGCACAGUGUGAAAAGCUCCGGUGGUAUGAGAUGGACCCGCGUCUGAUUAGGUAGUCGGUGAGGUAACGGCCCACCAAGCCGACGAUCAGUAGCCGACCUGAGAGGGUGACCGGCCACAUUGGGACUGAGACACGGCCCAAACUCCUACGGGAGGCAGCAGUGGGGAAUAUUGGACAAUGGGGGAAACCCUGAUCCAGCGACGCCGCGUGAGUGAAGAAGUAUUUCGGUAUGUAAAGCUCUAUCAGCAGGGAAGAAAAUGACGGUACCUGACUAAGAAGCCCCGGCUAACUACGUGCCAGCCGCCGCCGUAA